Molecule: long non-coding RNA, 754 nt
Organism: Varanus komodoensis (Komodo dragon)
Lineage: Eukaryota; Metazoa; Chordata; Lepidosauria; Squamata; Varanidae
Exons: 3
Source: RefSeq, a predicted model, not a curated record
GUGUAGAAAUGCAGCAAAUACAAGGACAGUGUGCUGAAAACACACUUUGUGGGAGUAUACAACAAGGACUGUAACAGGUAUGUGUUGCACCGUUUGAUGAAAGAUAGACCAGUUGAUGGCUGUACCUGUGAAGAAGAAAAUAUUUUUAAGAAAAAUCACAAUUUAUAUCACUUUCAACACUCCAUCUAGAAGAGAAUAGCUCAGACUUCCCACUCAAUACCGGCCAAAAGAAAAGACAAGAAGGAAUGAGUAAAGGAAGCACUCACCUGACCAUCCAAAUGAACUGACUGGCACACAAAGUAUCAGUCAGAGAGGAGAAGGAACAUUCUGUACUUCUAAGAACUAAAACAGCCUUACCAAACUGGGUGCCCGCUAAUGCUUGUAGUCUGCAACAGGUUUGACAGUUUGGCCUGGACUUGCAUAUAACCCAUUUGUGGAACUGCCCAGAACUUGUAAAUGAGGACUUGUAACCUGAACCUGUCUGCUGAACCUCAACAAAUCUACUGGUCUGCUGCCUACAUACAGGGUGGGCCAAAAGUGAACAUCUUAAGCUGACACUGUUCAAUUACCUGGAGAAGUAUGUUUUUGGUAUAUUUUUGGAUGAUCGGCCCCUAUAUUUGCUGGUGGCAAGUUAUACGCCUCAAUGAACGAAUGUGUGUGUACCCGACGCCCUGGAUGCUGCCAGCCCACCUGCACCACGUGGCCCCACCUGGCUGACAUGCGCUCAGCGCACCCUGCUCCGCCCCCCCCUCCG